RNAcentral lists this unclassified non-coding RNA (781 nucleotides) under Hevea brasiliensis (rubber tree). Lineage: Eukaryota; Viridiplantae; Streptophyta; Magnoliopsida; Malpighiales; Euphorbiaceae. The record is from RNAcentral.
CUCCUUGUAUUCUCUCUGUCCACAUGUUUCGAAUAAGGGCACGUCGUCCUUCAGCAACAGGAUUUCCCACAGGAAGAGUCCAAUAUUCAAUUACCUCCUCCAAUUCUGAUAGUUGCUGAACUCGGACCAUAUUACUGUAAGCACGCUCAUAGCUCUCCAAAACCAAAGCAGCAAGUUCUGUUCCUAAACACUUCCUAGCUCUCUCAACAUACUCCCGAGCUUCAUCAUACUUUCCUCUACGAACUAAUAAGACAGCCCUGAAGAAUGUGCCACUACUACUUCCAUCACCACUAGUGGCAGUAUUCCCCAAACCUCGAAGUUUAGUUUCAUCACCAUCAUCUAAUNNNNNNGAAUACAUAUUCUGCCAUUGGAUCCCACUCUCCCAUGUCCCAAGCAGCACUAGCAGCCAUUGGUGCCAUUUCCAAUCGCGCAGCUGGCUCUGCCGGCGUCCAAAAAUCCUUGCAUAGAUUGUUAAGCUCUUCCCAUCUAGCUAAUGCAGCAAGGCAUCGCAUCCUUCCUAGUGUAGCUUCCAAAACAAGAUGUGGACUUGAUGCUUGCGCAACUUUUGCAGUGUAUGCUUUAAGAGCAUCAUCCCACCGCUGCAAUUUCUCAUACCAUGACUCCUUAAGUUUAACAUCAAGAUGUUGUUGGGCAUAGGUCAAUAUUCCAACAGCAGCCUCAUGCUGGUGCAACUGAUUAUUUAUAUGUAUGAGAGCUUCAACAACAGCAACAGGAUUAGCAUCCGUCUUCUUGGAUUGCGCACCUACGAACUCCAUUUCUU